GGCACCUUCGGUGUCCAGAGUUGUAAUCUCUAGAAAAUGUUUUCCGCGUUGGACCGCACACAAGUCUGUUGGAAUACAGCGGCAUAGUGGUAGAGACCCCCGUAUAUGGUGCGGACGCCCAGCGCUUUGUGAUACAUUUUCGAAGAGUCGAGUUGUUUGGGAAUGCAGCUCAAAUUGGGUGGUAAAUUCCAUCUAAAGCUAAAUAUUGGCGAGAGACCGAUAGCGAACAAGUACCGUGAGGGAAAGAUGAAAAGCACUUUGGAAAGAGAGUUAACAGUACGUGAAAUUGUUGGAAGGGAAACGCUUGAAGUCAGACUUGCUUGCCGAGCAAUCGGUUUGCAGGCCAGCAUCAGUUUUCCGGGAUGGAUAAUGGUAGAGAGAAGGUAGCAGUUUCGGCUGUGUUAUAGCUCUCUGCUGGAU
Molecule: ribosomal RNA, 420 nt
Filed under: Rhodotorula mucilaginosa
Lineage: Eukaryota; Fungi; Basidiomycota; Microbotryomycetes; Sporidiobolales; Sporidiobolaceae
Description: partial large subunit ribosomal RNA
Rfam family: Eukaryotic large subunit ribosomal RNA
Source: RNAcentral